AGGACAAUUAUCAUGCAAGUCGAGCGCGGGAAGCGAGUGGAUCCCUUCGGGGUGAAGCUCGUGGAACGAGCGGCGGACGGGUGAGUAACACGUGGGCAACCUGCCUGUAAGACCGGAAUAACCCCGGGAAACCGGGGCUAAUGCCGGGUAAUACUUUUCUUCGCAUGAAGGAAAGUUGAAAGAUGGCUUCUUGCUAUCACUUACAGAUGGGCCCGCGGCGCAUUAGCUAGUUGGUGAGGUAACGGCUCACCAAGGCGACGAUGCGUAGCCGACCUGAGAGGGUGAUCGGCCACACUGGGACUGAGACACGGCCCAGACUCCUACGGGAGGCAGCAGUAGGGAAUCUUCCGCAAUGGACGAAAGUCUGACGGAGCAACGCCGCGUGAACGAUGAAGGUCUUCGGAUCGUAAAGUUCUGUUGUUAGGGAAGAACAAGUACCGUGCGAAUAGAGCGGUACCUUGACGGUACCUAACGAGGAAGCCCCGGCUAACUACGUGCCAGCAGCCGCGGUAAUACGUAGGGGGCAAGCGUUGUCCGGAAUUAUUGGGCGUAAAGCGCGCGCAGGCGGUUCCUUAAGUCUGAUGUGAAAGCCCACGGCUCAACCGUGGAGGGUCAUUGGAAACUGGGGAACUUGAGGACAGAAGAGGAGAGUGGAAUUCCACGUGUAGCGGUGAAAUGCGUAGAUAUGUGGAGGAACACCAGUGGCGAAGGCGACUCUCUGGUCUGUUUCUGACGCUGAGGUGCGAAAGCGUGGGUAGCAAACAGGAUUAGAUACCCUGGUAGUCCACGCCGUAAACGAUGAGUGCUAGGUGUUAGGGGGCUUCCACCCCUUAGUGCUGAAGUUNACNCA
RNAcentral lists this ribosomal RNA (850 nucleotides) under Halobacillus sp. AB9. RNAcentral describes it as "bacterial SSU rRNA". It matches the Rfam family "Bacterial small subunit ribosomal RNA", at positions 44 to 859 of the family's 1533-position model. The record is from RNAcentral. Lineage: Bacteria; Bacillati; Bacillota; Bacilli; Caryophanales; Bacillaceae.